This is a long non-coding RNA of Synchiropus splendidus (mandarinfish), 9021 nucleotides long. RefSeq lists it as uncharacterized. NCBI's taxonomy places the organism in Eukaryota, Metazoa, Chordata, Actinopteri, Syngnathiformes, Callionymidae. The transcript has 5 exons. The record is from RefSeq and is a predicted model, not a curated record.
CCAAUGUGCACGCGACAGACAGGAGCCGCCUCGCGGUUUUCAGAAGCAGCUGCCUGCUGCACACGCACGUUGUUAGUAAAUGAGUCAAAAAACAGGAAGCGGUGUCAUGGAUCCUCACCUGCUUGUGGACGUGCUGCUUUAGCUGGUGUAUUUUUUCUUUCAGCUCCUGGAUCUGACUCUGAGCUCGCUCCCUGUCGGCACGCUCUGACUUAAAAUCUUCGGUGUAGAUCAGAACCUGUAGACACAAAACACGGACACGACUAUUAAUGUGAUUCAAAAAAACGAACUGGAUAUUUCCUUUUUUUAAAUGUAUGUGUGUUUUGCUACUGUAGUCUGCCACUGUGUAGUGUGUUUGCUAACUUUGUUUGUUUCUGAGGUGGUUGUGUGAGAAUAUGUGUUUUGAAGUGUGAUUUUGACAAGUGUAGUGAUUUUGGCGUGUUGUGUAUAAAUGUGUAAUAUAUAGGGCUGGGAUUCGCUUAAAAUAAAAAUAAUUAAUUAGAGAAUUUGUGAUUAAUUAAUCUCAAUUAAUCGCAGUUUAAUGGUAUCAGAAUAUUUGUCACAAGAAGCCACACUUUUCAAUUUGAAUGAAUGUGGCAUAUUACUGAAUCAAAUGAUGGAGCCAUACAUACAUUUAAACAGCAAAAUAUUGUUUGUUUUGCAUCAGUUUGACAAUAGCCCAAUAAACCACGAUGGUGGCUAUAUUCAAGUUUUUAUAUCACCUUAUUUAAACUAAAGCUCUUUUAAUGUCUUGAAAAUAUUUGUAUAAGAAAUUCAAUGUUAUAAGAAUGUCAAGUCCAUUCAGAGUAGUGCAAACCCUGGCCAUUGUGUAGUGAAAAACAUCUCUGAACAAAAACAGAUGCUUUUGUUUGCUUUUGUUCAGGGAUUCCUCCAUGUUUGUUGUUGUUGUUCUCAUCCUAGCUGCCACGUGUCUUGUGCAUCAGUGGGAUCAGUGGCCCAGGAACCCCUGCACUUACAAAGGUUCCCUGUUGUCUGGAGGGCAAACUGUCAAAUUAAAUUAAUUAAUCGUAAAUAAAUUGUGAAAGUCCCACCACUAAUGUGUUAAUAAUGUGUGUGUUUUGGUUCCCCAUUCUAAUGUUACAUGUCUGUUAGUGUACAAAUGUAGGAAAGCCGGUCCACCUGCUGCUCCAGCGUCUGGAUGCGCUCUCUGUCCUGCCGCCUGUCGUCUUCCAUUUCUCUCUCCAGUCGCUCGCACUCCACCACCUUCUCCUCCAGCAAGCCGUUGAGUCGGGAGAUUUCAUGGCGAAGCAGCCCGGCGCUGACUCCCCCCAGCCCGGGCACCAUUCCCUGGCUGGCUGUUUCCCUCAGCCUCUGACACAGACCUUGGAUGUAGUCCUCCCUGCUGGAGUCGUACUUCUGCCACUGAGUGUUCAGACCUUGAACCUGAAACAGCGGUAGAUAGGAAAAUAUUAUUUACCGUCACACUUACAGUAGAAGUUCUUCACCCCAACAAAAGAGAUAAACAUUUAAAAAUUCUAUUUUCUAGUUCAGAUAAAAACUGAAACGAAAGUGCGUCAGCAGCAAGAGAAUUGAUUUUUCUAAUUUCCUGGUCGUCAUUUUCCACGCCAGAGUCGGUAACAGGUAUGAGUAAACUCACGUAGGCGACCCGCUGCUUCAACUGUCUGUUCUCCUCCUCCAGCUGCGAGAUCUGAAGGUUGACGUCACUCCUCUCCGAUGACUCUGUGAACUACAAACAAAACUUGAUACCUUGCAACAUGAGCACAUGCCGGCUCAUACCCCUCGGGGGAGUGUCGUACCGCUUUUCCCUGCUGCUCCACUCCUCCUCCUCCUGCUGCCGUCUUCUCCUUCUCCAGCCUGGCCAGCAGCUCCUGGCACACCUUCACCGUGGCGGCCAGCUGACCCCGGAGCUGGUCGGCUUCCUCAGCCAGAGACGAGUACAGGACCGCUUGGGUGGCGUCCCGCCGCUCCCUCUCCUCCAGGGCCGAGCGAAGCUGUUGGAUCUCCCGGUCUUUCUCGUGGUCCGGCUGAUGCUGGAUUCUCUCCAGCUCCGCAUCUUUGGCUCUUAGCUGAGAAUUCAACCUCUGGAUCUCCUGUGGGAGAAGAUCCAAUCACAUCACUUAGGGACAUUAAAUGAGAUGUGACUUUAAAAACCCCUGAUGAAGAAGAGCAUAUCCAGAGGUUUCUUAGUCAGCGGUUCAUAACAUAAAAAUAUGGUUUCGAGAAACCAUAUUUUCUCAAGUGACCAACACUUGAGGAAGAAGAGCAUCCCCAGAGGUUUCUUAUUCAGCGGUUCAAAACACAAAAAUAUGGUUUCGAGGAAGGAUACUUGAAGAAACACAAUUGUCCAAGAGUCUAUGAAUAGCAUUCUUUGAGCCUGAAAUAUGAAGCCAAACUGAAUAAAAUAUCAGAUUAUAUACCAGAUUAUCAGACAGCACCUUAUCACACAGUGACGGCCGAUUUUCUCCUCGAAGCACAAACAUGCACCAAAUUUCCUCCCAUCUGUUUCAAGCCUUAUCUUAUCAGACAUUCCCAGGUUGACUCUAGUUUUUGGUGCACUUUCCACCGGUAUCAGUUUAUUUAAAGCUCUCGUGGCCUCAUUUGACGAUCUGGAUUUGGCCCCCUGCCCUUCACUUUGACACCUGCCUUGGAGGAAAUUAUGAGGUUGCUGAGUUACUUGUUCACUGAAGAUAGUUUUAACCACGACAGAAGGAAUUGUGAAUUCAUCGCGAGGAAAGCUCAGUUAGUGAUGGUCAGCAGAGGAUGUGUCCACCAGGAGGAUCAUUUAGCAGGUGGCUCGCGCUUCAAAUGAGACUAACAAGAACGGGACGUUGGCCAGUUGAAUGAGAAAUUUGUUGCUCGCAGAAAUCUUUUUAGCCUAAAUACCUGAAUCAAUAGACGGCCGGAGCUAAACAUCGCACCAUAGAAACGCAGUCUUCUGUCUCUUCUUCUGGGCUUCGAGCGAGGCAUGGGUUGAUUUCAUUCAGCUGAGGGGGAGGAGGGGAGUUUGACAACUCAAUUCCAGGGUGUUGCCAACAUUUAUUGAAAGAGCAAGAGCUUGUCAGGACGCCAGUGAAAACUGAGAUCACUUGAAGGCGCUGUGACUCUUGUCACAUUGUGCCUCUUGAGUACGUCGGAAUGUUUUGAAUUCCAUGCAUAAACAGUUGCAUGAAAAUAUAUUUAAAUCAGACUUACAUCUGAAUAUAUUUUAGAGAGACAUAUACUUUUUGUUGCUAGACGUCAGAAGAAACAGAAUAGCAUUUAACAGAAUUAUUUCACAUAAUAAGAGUAUAAGAAAGUACAGUUUAGUAAUAUAAUAAAUGUUUUUAAUGAAAUAUGAGAAGGACAUUUCAAAUAUAAGUAAACAAUAAAGCAAAAAUUAAGGUGCGUAAAAAUAUUCUGAUGGUGUUUUAUUUGUACACAUAUUUUCUGAAUGUUUAUGUUUAAUAUUUAAGUUUAAUUUCUUUUUAGAAGUACAAUCACAUAUACAAAUAGAACUAUCAAUUUUCACACCUCUUCUUAAACAUUACCUCACUGCAAAUUAAUUUUUCUCUGCCAACAAAGCUCUGUUAAGGAAUAGAAACAUGUUAGAUAGUUUGACAGAUGAUGCCAAUAAGUACCCGUAAUUGACAUGCCAACAAAAGCUCCAGGAGGAAGACACCUGCAACCUCUCUCUAUUCUGAUCUCCCUGAGGGGAUGAGCUCCCUUUUUCUGCUGCUUGACCUUGUCAUCUUUUUAUCCACAGUCGGUGGUGAGGGAGGAUUGAUCAAGGUCUUUGUUACAGUCCAUAAGAAACAAUUUAUCUGAUACUCCAGUCAUUCACGAGCAAGAUCAGGUGUUGUAUUUCUGAGCUUCAACCUUCCACCUAACCUUUUGAAAGGUAUAAAAUACUCUGCACAGUGACUCGCCUGCACCUUCACACGCACUGACACACAGGAAUGUUUGGGUUGAUAGUAGUGAAUUUACCGCUGCCAGUUUGGACGCCUUCAACUCAGCAUCGUUGUUCUUCUGUUUCAGCUUACAGAUUUCUUUACACAGACUCUCCAGCAGGGACUUGGAGGGUCCGACGACCACAGACUCGUUAUCUCCCACCAUCACCCGGGUCCUCUCGAAUCUGUCGUCAGUCCAUAAAAAUCCUCAGGUGAUGCUCGAUUGAGGCAGCAGCAGAAGCAGCUCCUCUGUGGUCGUCUGAAGUGAAAAUAAACCCGGACGCCACAGCACACUGAAGCUUGCGGAUGCUGCGGGAAAUCCUCUUGAACUCUCGCUGUCCCUUCUGCCAACGCUUCAGGGACGUGAUGACCAGGUGACCGUCCAUCUUCUGGCCCAUGACCAGGCACGACGUGGUGGUGAUCAGACCGCUGUACGGGUCGAUGUUGAAGAGCUCGUAGCCGGGUCCUGGCAGCAGACUGUACCACACCACCGCGCUCUGACCUGAUGAAACAUGGCGGAUGUUGCAAAUAGUAAAGAGUUUGUCUGCGUCUCCAGCCAUGAGGAAGUAAGAGACCACUCCGUUGUCUCCUCUGUCUCCAUCCGUGGUGAUGAAGUGAUGCAGCUGACUUCCCACCUCUGCAUCCUCCAUCACCUGAACCGAGUCAGCAGAGGUGAAGAUGGGUCGGUUAUCGUUCACGUCCAGCAGAAACAACUGAGCAGUUGCCCACGCCUGCCGCCUCUCUUCCCUCCUCUCUGCCCGGUCAGUGGCCAUCACCGUGAAGGCGAAGCUGCUGGAGCUCUCCCGGUCCAACGGUGCUGCUACGGUCAAGCAGCCAGUCAGUGGGUUUAUCUGGAAUGGCGAGUGUGACGGUCCGGAGUCUGACGCCAAGGAGUAACGUAGAUUGCUGUUUGUAAAUGUCCCAUCAGCAUCUUUAGCGUGGAAAGCCAAGAUCAUGGUACCCACUGCAGCGUCCUCCCUCACACCGAGGGUGACCAGUGGAUCGGGGAACCAGGGCGAGUGGUCAUUUACGUCCUCCACUGUCACACUGACCAGCAAAGUCACGUUCACCCCAGAAGUGAGUGGAGCAUCCUCAGCGCAGAUCAGGAGGAAGUACUGCACCACAGACUCGUAGUCCAGAGGCUGGUAGAUGUAAAUGUCGCCAGAGGAGCCGUCAAUCCCAAAGUUGAUGCUGCCAUCUCCCUCCAUGAUGGAGUAGUGAAACCUUCCAUCAUCGGACACCGCAGCAGAGCCAAUAACUGUCCCUGGAGCUCUGUCCUCUUUCACCGAAAAUAUUCUCACAAUCGGCUGCUCAGCGUGACCAUAGUGGGCCUCCACUCCAUGGACCUGGUGGAGGUAGGUUUGUUAAACUUUGAUGUCUUGUGUUGAGUCCACAUCAAAGCAAAUGGGUUUCAAAGUGAAGAUCAAAGGAGCAUGCAAACAUCAGAGUGUCACGCAAUGGUCAUCGUGGUGUGUCAAUAUGAAAGCAGUGGGCAAACAGGUAGUAGACAAAUGCUAGAACACCACACAAUCGUCGUACGAGUGUGUAGACAUAUCAAAGUAGCAUCCAAAUAUUGAAGCACUGCACAAAUAUCUGAGUCGUGUGUUAACAUCAAAGUAGCAUGCAAAGAUGGGUGUGGUGGAAAAACGCCAGAGAACCGUGCAGUUAUCAAAGUAGUGCAUGAAUGUCAAAUAGGUAUGCAAAGGUCAAUAUACCACUCAGCAGUUAAAAGUUGUGCAGUCACGUAAUGCAGAAACAUUUACAUCGUAUGCAAAGGUCUGUGUAGCAUGCAAACAUUGGGGUAGUUGUUGGGGAAGUUGCUAAGCCAAGGACAAAGUACAACUUGUCAGAGUGGUGCGUAAAGUUUGAAAACAUUGAAGUAUUUGUGUAUGAAGUGCAGUGUGUAAAAGUAUGGAGAAGACUGGAGUAAUCCGCAUUGGUAUGAUGAGCAAAGUACUGCACAAUCGUCAGAGUAGUCGUAGUGCCACUACACCGUGCUACGUAAUGCAAAUUUAAAGCAAAAAAACCCAAACCUGUAUGUGAAUGGUAGCAACUUCCUGUAGUGAGGGACUUCCUUUAUCGCAGGCUAUGACCUUGAGAGUGUAAAACUGUUGCACCUCGUGGCUGAAGAGUUCUGUGUUUCUGAUGUCUCCUGUUCUGCUGUCAAUCUCAAAAUGCCCCAAAGUUUCCUCCAUGUCGUCUGAAACAAGCAGGAGUCUUCAGUUUGAUAAGACCUUCGGACAUCCAGCGAUGAUGACAACGCACCUGUGGCUAUUGAAAAAGUAAUGGUUCCAUUUUCUCCUGCGUCCACGUCCUUGGCAAACAUGGUCGUCACCCGAGAGCCAGCUGGCACUCCGGCCCACAUCUGGAGGCAGGUGUGAGGGAUACGCACAUCGCAAGCUUCUCAAUAGUAAUAUUUCCUGAUGUUCAAGAUACACUUAGGUACUCUACACUUUGGUAUCAUACCUGGACGUUUGUCUCCUUGCUAGCAGGCAGGUGAGUGAAGUGCGGAGCGUUGUCGUUAACGUCGGUGACCAGGAUGUGGACAGUGGCAGUGGAGUUGAGUCUGGGGUGUCCUUGGUCCGUCACCAUGACCUUUAACCUGUGCUGGCAGUGCUGCUCCCGAUCCAACGCCACCCAGUUAAAGAUUUCACCUGUGUUAGAGUGGGAGAUUUUGGCUCAGUGCUUUCAAGUUAACCUGCAGGUGAUGUCAUCAGCCCAACCUGUUUUCGCGUUGAUGCGGAAGAACUUCCCAUCAGAGAGCAGGAUGUAGGUCAGUUGGCCGUUCUUCCCCGAGUCCUUGUCUACAGCCUCGACUUUGCCCACUAGGCCUUGAGGCGACGUACCCUCAGACACAGUGAAGUAGUAGGCGUCAGUGCUGAACUCUGGAAUGUUGUCGUUAAUGUCCAGCACCUGGACGAUCACUGUCGCUGUGGCGUUAGCGCCAUCCUUUGUAGUAGCUAACGCUUUAAAGUGAAAGGCUGGCUCUGUUUCGUAGUCCAAGUUGUGGGUCAGAUACAACCAGCCCGUCUGUGGGUGAAUGCGAAACGGAGGGAGAGGAAACCCCACCUCGGCAGCCAGGGAAUAGGCGACGCUUGUGUGAGAGUCUUGGCUCUGGUGCGCCCUCACUUGGAUAACCCGGGCAUCUUUCCUGUAUCCCUCGCCGAUCUCCACCUGGUAGACCAACGUCUCGAAGGCCAGGUUGUGCUCAGCACUGCUGUGGUCCACACUGACAGUGAGGGUCAGCGUGGAGCUCAGCGACGGCACUCCUUCGUCUUGAGCUACAAUCAGCAGCUGAUGACGUGUCGGGGUUUCUGCCUGCAAACUCCGGUUUAGUAUGACUGUUCCAAAGCUGUGGUCGACAGCAAACAUGCCGUCCCUGCUGCUCUUCAGGAAGUAGAGCACUCUGCCGUUUGCACCGCUGUCUUCGUCAUGUGCGUGCGCAAUAAACACCACCGUUCCAGGUGGGGUGUUCUGAGACACGACGACAGAGUCGGAGGAUUUGGGGAAAACCGGAGUGUUGUCGUUCAAGUCUAGGAUGGUGGCAUUGACCUGUGUGGUGCUGUAGACGGGCGAAGACCCAGAGUAGGCCUGGAGAACCAGCAGAGCGUACGGCUGCGACUCAUGGUCCAGAGCUUUGAGGGUGCUGAUCAGUCCAGAUGUUGGAUGAACAGAGAACAGACCAUGAGGGUCGCCGGAGGAGAUUCGGUAGAACACAGACUCUGUAGAAUCUACAGGAACAGGGAAAAAAAUCUCAAAUUCUUUUCACUUUUCACACUUACAAAAUUGAUCAAUGCGCAAGUUAGUGUAAGGAAAUAGCGAUGUACUUUGUGGUACUGUUAUGAUGAAUUGAUUUUUCAGUUGAUUUCCAUUGGAUUUUUUUACAUGUUUGUAUGCAUCUUAACAAUUUUAAUAGUACGUCAUUUAUUAUUCAUAGAGUCGUGUAGAAUCUGAGCUUUGCUAGUGUUUAUGGGCAAACACAAUACAUUUUUGUUGUGAGUGUGAUGCCAGCUUCUGGUGAUGUCACACUUGCGCUGGGAUUUUGUUUCUUGUUUUUCUUCGGUUUUCCCUAUUAUAUUACACUUCAAAUCAACAUUUUAAAAGUGAUUCCACUCAACAUUAGACAUUUAAGUCUAUGAAAUGAAUGAAUGCGAUCUGAAAAAUAUGACACAGGGUCCAUAGUUGAUGCAUUGUUUGCAUUUGUCAAAGUCUGUACGGUCCAUACUUAUCAAGUCUGUCGACCCUUUAUCAAGAGAAAUCAAGUUCCAUCCUAUUAAAUGUUUUUGCAUAUUUCUCCUGUACUUUUUGGCCUUUGCUUUUAAUGCUGACAAAGGAUCUUUUAAUUGUCAUUUGCUAUAUUUAUUACUAGCCACAGUUUUAUUCAACAUUUGGCCUAGAAUGACCUACAGUAUGUUAUUAUUUUGAAUUUUAUUAUUACGUGAAAACUUCUAAAUAGUGAUUUCUUUAUUUCGCUGUGUAAUAGUAGAACCGUUAUAUUCAAGUUCUUCACUGGUUCCUUGUUCAACACAAUAAACAUCUAAUCCUGCUGUCUAAUCCACUGACUAAUAAGACAAUACAGGUCCAAAUAAUCUCCUCAAUUUGAGUUGAAACAGCAAGAUUAAGACGCCAUCAUCAGACACGACAUAGUUGUUUGUGCUUUAAUCUGAAGAGUUAAUCCGUUAAGUGAUUAAAUGACCCAACGUGACUGUCUCAGGUGGUCGAGGGGGGAACAGUUGUUGAAAGAUCAAGGAAGAAUGAAGGCAAUAAGCUUUUGCCCUGCAUGGCGGAUCAUGGUUCGAACAGUAGGCUCACUGCAUGAAGGUUGCAGGUUUGAUGCCAGCGUGGCAAUAGAGUGGGUUUCCUCCAGACACUCCGGUUUCCUCCCACAGCCCAACAUCCAAAGGUUCAUAGAGGAUUGUCUGUCUAUAUGCAGCCUGGUGCCCUGUGCAGGGUGUCACCUGCCUCUCGCCCAAGGUAGCUGGGAGAAGCUCCAAAUCCUCAAACCCCAGAAAAAUAAAAUGCAAAGUUCUCUGCUUGAUUUUAUCAUCACUGAUAUGUAGUGUUCAGCAGUUUGGGACACGACUGUUGAAGUCGGAGGAAACCAGGUCACGAUGAC